UUGCACAAUAAAAUGGUUUGUCUCUGAUGGCAGUGGUUCUGACACUCACAUUUAUAGAAAAGCGAAGGUGCUUUGUCAGUGAAAACAUUUUUCCAAUAAGAUGGUAGAUUUUCGUUGAAGUAUCCAUAAAUUUAGUGCAAUUGGCCAAUUGCUAUGUGUACUACAUUUCGUUCUGUUCAGCUUCCUUGUUCCCGUCAUUGUUUUAAUUGAAUGUCUGGUUAUCAUUAUGGUCCUAAGGUUUCUAUUCAAAAAGAGACAGUAAUUUUUGUGGGGAAUUUCUGGUGAGAAAUACUUUGGCACUUUGAAGUUGGGGAACUAAACUCUAGUUUCUCUCACAAUUCUUAAGGUUAUGGCAUUCUCAGUUGGUGCAUGGUAGUUUGAAGAGUAACCUUAGAAUUUCUAUAACCUAACACCUCGAUUGGAUUUGAACUGGAAUUUUGACAAGGGUAUUUCCUGUUGCAGGAUUGAUGAGAACAUGGAAGACACAUUGGUAAAUGUAGAGGGUGCACAAGGGCAACUGCUCAAGUAUAUGAAUAGCAUAUCAUCAAAUAGGUGGCUGAUGAUCAAGAUAUUCUUUAUAUAAAUUUUUUUCCUCAUGGUUUUCCUAUUUUUUGUGGCAUAAUAGUCAUUGCAGAGACAAUUGAAAAGG
RNAcentral lists this long non-coding RNA (649 nucleotides) under Rosa chinensis. RNAcentral's name for it is "sRNA RchiOBHm_Chr6g0312711". The record is from RNAcentral. Lineage: Eukaryota; Viridiplantae; Streptophyta; Magnoliopsida; Rosales; Rosaceae.